RNAcentral lists this ribosomal RNA (253 nucleotides) under uncultured bacterium. RNAcentral describes it as "partial 16S ribosomal RNA". It matches the Rfam family "Bacterial small subunit ribosomal RNA", at positions 524 to 776 of the family's 1533-position model. The record is from RNAcentral.
UACGGAGGGUACGAACGUUGCUCGGAAUUAUUGGGCGUAAAGAGCGUGUAGGCGGUUAACUUAGUCCCGUGGGAAAUCCCUCGGCUUAACCAAGGAAUUGCGCUGGAAACUGGUCAACUAGAGUACGGGAGAGGGUAGCGGAAUUCCCGGUGUAGAGGUGAAAUUCGUAGAUAUCGGGAGGAACACCAGUGGCGAAGGCGGCUACCUGGACCGAUACUGACGCUGAGACGCGAAAGCGUGGGGAGCAAACAGG